CACCACAACGGGUGGAGCCUGCGGUUUAAUUGGACUCAACGCCGGGCAGCUCACCGGAUAAGACAGCUGGAUGAUAGCCGGGCUGAAGACUCUGCUUGACUAGCUGAGAGGAGGUGCAUGGCCGUCGUCAGUUCGUACUGUGAAGCAUCCUGUUAAGUCAGGCAACGAGCGAGACCCACGCCAACAGUUGCCAGCAUGUCCUCCGGGAUGAUGGGGACACUGUUGGGACCGCCUCUGCUAAAGAGGAGGAAGGAAUGGGCAACGGUAGGUCAGCAUGCCCCGAAUUAUCCGGGCUACACGCGGGCUACAAUGGUCAGGACAAUGGGUAUCGACACCGAGAGGUGGAGGCAAUCUCCUAAACCUGUCCUUAGUUCGGAUUGUGGGCUGCAACUCGCCCACAUGAAGCUGGAAUCCGUAGUAAUCGCGUUUCAAAAUAGCGCGGUGAAUGUGUCCCUGCUCCUU
This 462-nucleotide ribosomal RNA is filed under the name uncultured Methanolinea sp. RNAcentral's name for it is "bacterial SSU rRNA". It matches the Rfam family "Archaeal small subunit ribosomal RNA", at positions 877 to 1338 of the family's 1478-position model. Lineage: Archaea; Methanobacteriati; Methanobacteriota; Methanomicrobia; Methanomicrobiales; Methanoregulaceae. The record is from RNAcentral.